UGGUGGAGUGAUUUGUCUGGUUAAUUCCGUUAACGAACGAGACCUCAGCCUGCUUUUGUAGUCGGCCGUAUGCCUUCGGGCCUACGCCGUCCCGACUUCUUAGAGGGACUAUCGAUGUUGCAGUCGAUGGAAGUUUGAGGCAAUAACA
RNAcentral lists this ribosomal RNA (148 nucleotides) under uncultured eukaryote. RNAcentral describes it as "partial 18S ribosomal RNA". It matches the Rfam family "Eukaryotic small subunit ribosomal RNA", at positions 1299 to 1458 of the family's 1831-position model. The record is from RNAcentral.